AUUGAACGCUGGCGGCAGGCCUAACACAUGCAAGUCGAACGAGUGGCGGACGGGUGAGUAAUGGCUGGGAAACUGCCUGAUGGAGGGGGAUAACUACGGGAAACGGUAGCUAAUACCGCAUACCAUAAGAUGUGCCCAGGUGGGAUUAGGUAGUUGGUGGGGUAACGGCUCACCAAGGCGACGAUCCCUAGCUGGUCUGAGAGGAUGACCCGCCACACUGGGACUGAGACACGGCCCAGACUCCUACGGGAGGCAGCAGUGGGGAAUAUUGCACAAUGGGCGCAACCCUGAUGCAGCCAGGCCGCGUGUAUGAAGAAGGCCUUCGGGUUGUAAAGUUCUUUCGGUGGCGAGGCGUUAACCACACAAGAAGCACCGGCUAACUCCGUGCCAGCAGCCGCGGUAAUUC
Molecule: ribosomal RNA, 406 nt
Filed under: uncultured bacterium
Lineage: Bacteria
Description: partial 16S ribosomal RNA
Rfam family: Bacterial small subunit ribosomal RNA
Source: RNAcentral